CCCUUAGAUGUUCUGGGCCGCACGCGCGCUACAAUGAUGAAUUCAACGAGUUUAUAACCUUGGUUGAAAAGCCUGGGUAAUCUUUUGGACUUUCGUCGUGAUGGGGCUAGACCCUUGCAAUUAUUGGUCUCCAACGAGGAAUUCCUAGUAAACGCAAGUCAUCAGCUUGCAUUGAUUACGUCCCUGCCCUUUGUACACACCGCCCGUCGCACCUACCGAUUGAAUGGUCCGGUGAAAUCUUCGGAUUGAGACUUUGAUUUCUUCACGGAAAACGCUGUUUUAAAAAGUUGAUUAAACCUUACCAUUUAGAGGAAGGUGAAGUCGUAACA
RNAcentral lists this ribosomal RNA (329 nucleotides) under uncultured eukaryote. Its description in RNAcentral is "partial 18S ribosomal RNA". It matches the Rfam family "Eukaryotic small subunit ribosomal RNA", at positions 1470 to 1796 of the family's 1831-position model. The record is from RNAcentral.